GACGAACGCUGGCGGCGUGCUUAACACAUGCAAGUCGAACGGAAAGGCCCUGCUUGUGUGGGCUGCUCGAUUGCCGAACGGGUGAGUAACACGUGAGCAACCUGCCCUUGACUUUGGGAAAACUUCACGAAACUGGGCCUAAUAUCGGACAGGAGAUCCUGUAGCAGGGUGGGGGGGGGAAAGUUUCGGCGGGUGGGGAUGGACGCGGGGCUGAUCAGCUUGCUGGUGGGGUAGUGGCAUACCAAGGCUUUGACGGGUAGCCGGCCGGCGAGGGGGACCGGCCACAUUACGACUGCGAUACGGCCCAGACUCAUACGGUAGGCAACGGUGGCGAGUAUUACACAGUCGGCGGGAGCCUGAUGCAGCACCGCCGCGUGCGGGAAGACGACCUGCGGGUAGUGAACCGCAUUUGCUUGAGACGACGCGUGAGUGACGGUACUCGGUGAAGAAGCACCGGCUAACUUCGUG
RNAcentral lists this ribosomal RNA (468 nucleotides) under uncultured bacterium. Its description in RNAcentral is "partial 16S ribosomal RNA". It matches the Rfam family "Bacterial small subunit ribosomal RNA", at positions 28 to 507 of the family's 1533-position model. The record is from RNAcentral.